RNAcentral lists this ribosomal RNA (372 nucleotides) under uncultured organism. RNAcentral's name for it is "bacterial SSU rRNA". It matches the Rfam family "Bacterial small subunit ribosomal RNA", at positions 526 to 896 of the family's 1533-position model. The record is from RNAcentral.
CAGAGGUCUCAAGCGUUGUUCGGAUUCAUUGGGCGUAAAGGGUGCGCAGGCGGCGAGGCAAGUCGGACGUGAAAUCCCGGGGCUUAACCCCGGAACUGCGUUCGAUACUGCCUUGCUCGAGGACUGGAGAGGAGACUGGAAUUCCUGGUGUAGCAGUGAAAUGCGUAGAUAUCAGGAGGAACGCCAAUGGCGAAGGCAAGUCUCUGGACAGUUCCUGACGCUCAUGCACGAAGGCCAGGGGAGCAAACGGGAUUAGAUACCCCGGUAGUCCUGGCAGUAAACGGUGCACGUUUGGUGUGGGAGGAUUCGACCCCUUCCGUGCCGGAGCUAACGCGUUAAACGUGCCGCCUGGGGAGUACGGUCGCAAGAUUA